Non-coding RNA from Engraulis encrasicolus (European anchovy), 444 nucleotides. NCBI's taxonomy places the organism in Eukaryota, Metazoa, Chordata, Actinopteri, Clupeiformes, Engraulidae. The record is from the annotation of a RefSeq genome assembly.
AUGACUCCCAGACCCAUCUCACUACUGCUGUUACUGGCAGCUGCAUCCUAUGUGCAUUCAGCUGUUGACCUCACUCAGCCCAGCUCAGUGGUUGUCAGGCCUGGAGAGGAAAUGACCAUCAGCUGUAAGGUGGCUGGAUACUCUCUGACCUCCUGCUGUACCUAUGCAACAGGAUGGAUCCACCAGCCUGCAGGGAAAGCAUUGGAGUGGAUAAACCAAAUUUGGGCAGAUGAUGAUACCAGAAUGGCAGAAUCCCUGAAGAGCAAGUUCAGCAUCUCUAGAGAUGCCUCCAGCAGCACUGUGACUCUGAGAGGCCAGAACAUGCAGCCUGGAGACUCUGCUGUCUACUACUGUGCCAGAUAUGAUGACCACUGUGGUAACAACAAGUACAAGACUCGUACAAAAACACAAUCUCAAGAGGAUUUCUUCCUGCAAGUUCCCUGA